Molecule: ribosomal RNA, 255 nt
Filed under: uncultured bacterium
Lineage: Bacteria
Description: partial 16S ribosomal RNA
Rfam family: Bacterial small subunit ribosomal RNA
Source: RNAcentral
UACGUAGGGGGCAAGCGUUAUCCGGAAUCAUUGGGCGUAAAGCGCGUGUAGGCGGUUCCGUAAGUCCGCUCUGAAAGCCCAGGGCUCAACCCUGGGAGGCGGGUGGAUACUACGGAACUGGAGUACGGAAGAGGAGAUUGGAAUUCCUGGUGUAGCGGUGAAAUGCGCAGAUAUCAGGAGGAACACCAACAGGCGAAAGGCAGAUCUCUGGGACGUUAGCUGACGCUGAGACGCGAAAGCGUGGGGAGCAAACAG